AAAAAUACUUCUAUGUUGCCUAAGUUACUAUUACUUUGGUUUAUUACACAUGAAAGAAUGUAACAGAGGCUGUCACAACCUCUUGGGUAUUGCCGUAUGCUCAAAUCCCAGGACUGGAGGUGUAUUCCUGAAUCUAAUAAAACGGAGUUGAAGAAAUUAACUUUGUAUAAUGUACCUUUGCCACCCAAGCUCCUUCCAAAUUAGUCAUCAGUAAGUGUUAAUAUUGAUGAAAUUCCUGUGAUAAUGUUGCAAAAUAUGGAUAAUAAAAGAGGCACCAAUUCUAAUAGUGCAUGCCUUAUGAUAAGAGGAGCAUAAAUAAUACAAGGG
Molecule: long non-coding RNA, 327 nt
Filed under: Fukomys damarensis (Damara mole-rat)
Lineage: Eukaryota; Metazoa; Chordata; Mammalia; Rodentia; Bathyergidae
Description: lncRNA (ENSFDAG00000023595.1)
Source: RNAcentral